CCCCCCGCCACCGCGACGAGAACACAGUGGCCGCAUCCUCCUCACACCCUUCCUGGGCUGUGCACCAAUGAAGGAACCCCCAAAAUUCAACGUACCUGAGGAAAGGAGGCUUUGCUGUCCCAUUUGUGUCGUUCUGUGAAGAAGAUAAAGAGGAAGUUUACGGACGGCUCAUGAAAUUGGGACACUUAAUAAGAGCGGAAUGUAAAGCCAUCUAAGGCAGAAGGGACUAUUUGUGGCUAAUGCGUGUUUAAAAGUGCCCUGCAGUCUCUAGCCAUUUGAGACCGUUUCAAUGUCUUCCUAAAGUCACUUAAAAAAUCAGGGUGAGAACAGAAAACCAUAGACAGGGAGGGACCCCACGAGCACCCAAAUGCCUCGGACUUUAGAGGCCAGGAUGUGUGCACCUGUGGCCCUUCGGCUGUGGAGCUACAGUGCCUGCAGGUGGUUUUUUGGGAGCCCAAUCCUGAAUGAUGCCAUGAAAAACCAGUAAGUAAAAACAAAACCUUGCUGGAUUUUGGUGCCCACAGCUAGCCGGAGAUCCGGCAGGACACUUCAGAAGGUGAGGAGGGGAUGGAACAAUGCCAGCGGUCUUUGCCUUCACAACCACCAGAGCCUGGGGACUUGGGGGUCUCCCACUGUGGCCACGGACCACGGGGGUGUGUCCUGUCCUUCAUUCUAGAAGCCUGCAGGCUUUAAAAAUUUGCUUUAAAUCUGCUCUGGCUGUUCCAAGAAAUCACUAAGCCCAAAUUUGUGAGGCUAGUUCUCCAGACGGCCGCCCAGGAGAGGGCAGUGUAACGCCAUCUGAGCAACAGGCCACCAGAGCAGCCGGUCCUCAAACUCCCAGGAUUCCCACUCUCACUUCCUGUUGCCAGCCUGGGGGGUUGAAGGCCAUACUUGGGGCAGAAGCCCACCAGGGCUCUUUCUGCAGGACUCCUGGGUGUUAGACACACAGACUCUCAAAAAGGGUCGCAGGCCCCUGGGCUACUUCAGAACUAUGCCUGCCGUCUCUUAGGACCUCAAAGGGAGACUAUGGGGCCAGCGGGGUCAUCCCGAUGGGGAACCCCAGCACCAGGAGACAACUCCAGUUAGUCCUGUGCCCCAAUUCAGCAUGUCUACUUUUCUUCACUGAUGCACAAAGCAGCUGCCCUGCUCAGCACAUCCUAAUUGGGCUUGAAAUGGCUGCAAGUGGUUUCUUCCUACUAGGCAGGCUGAGCUUCCCCAGCAGGCCUCCAAGUAAGUAAUUUCUGAGCGUAGCGCUCAUAUUCUAUGAUAGUUACAGGCUAGUUUAUGAUUUAUUUAAAAAGCUCCAGGAGACCUGCCCUGCAAUGCCUCACGUGCUCAGACCGCUGGCAGUGGUGCCCGGCCUAGAGCAGAAAGCCCUGUGCCGGGGAGGCACAUCACAUUACACUGGGAAGAGGCUUCUGGCAUCCUCCCGGCCUGGAGAGCACACUUCCUGCCAAGCCAGACUCCCCACAUAGGGCCCAUGCUUGGCCCCAGAGGCACACAGCCCUCCUGGCUCCUUGAUCUUCUCACUGGAAACCACCUUCUUGCUGCCUGUCCUCGGGCGUGGAACACUGUAUCCCUGCCAGGUGCAUCCGCAAGUUUGAGGAGAGCUCUGUGCACCCUGAACUGGAAACCAGACACACCACCCUCCUGGGGUACCUGCAGGCUGUCCUUGAGGGGAGGGUCUUGGGGCUUGUUCCCAGGAGACCCACUGAAACCCCUACCAGGUCACUCAGACCCUCCUGGGCCCUGACUGACACAAUUUGACUUUAAAACAGAGUUUGGGCACAUUUUCAUGAGCUGUGCCAUCCAAGUACUUGGCCCAGACAUUUGAGAAACAAACAUGGCGGCAGAGAUGCGUCACAGUCCACUAAAAGUAAAGUGGCAUGAAGUAACAACUCCUGCUGUGAGGGAGGACAGCCUGAAGCCAUUCAGUGCCAAGGCAAACCUUGGUCCUGCCAUGAACUCUACACCAUGGGUCCCAGCAGCGCCCAUGGGUACUGAAACCCCUACCAGGUCACUCAGAGUCCCGUCAGAACAGCCUAAACAUCUGUCACCAGGAGAAGGGACGACAGCCUUCCAUCCAGUGAAUGCCACACAGCAACAGUGUGUCACAGGAGGGCAUGCUGCACAAGGUCACACCGAAUGGGCCAUCCUGGUUUCCAAAAUCGGGCCAGUCUGGACUGUCACAAAGACAAAAAAGCAACCUAUCGGAACCUUGUGAAUAGCACACAGAGGACAGUGGUAUUUGUCUUAUCAAGAGUUCAGAUGGGUGGAGCACUGAUAAGAGGAGAGUUGAGGCUUUCGAACUGUUUCUCAAUCUGAAGAAACUCCAGGUCCUGCUGCUUUCUGUGCUUUCCCCUCUCUUCCUCCUCCCAAGGCUUCACAGUCCAGGAGGUUAGAAGGCUGGAUCGGCACUGUUCCCAUUGCAUGCCAGCCUGGGCAGCAGUGCUGGGGCUCAUCUGGCACUCAUAAAUGCUUUUAACUUGAUAUGAGCAAAUGCUCUGAUCCUCCUGUGUGUGGGUGCUGGGCAUGGAGGGUAAAAUAUGUAUUUAAAUAAAUUUACCAGGGCACCUGGGUGGCUCAGUUGGUUGAGCGUCUGCCUUUGGCUCAGGUCCAUGAUCCUGGUGUCCUGGGAUCAAGCACCACGUCUAUCUCUCCCUGCUUGUGGGGAGUCUGCUUCUCCCUCUCCUCCCUGCUUGUGUGCUCUCUCUCUCUCUCAAAUAAAUGAAUAAAAUCUUUUCUUAAAAAAUAAAUUUACCUAUAGUUUUCCCAAAGGAGAUACAAUGAAGUGCUAACAGUGGUUAUCCUGGAAGUGAAAUUAGAAAUAUUUUCAAGCAAAACAAAAAUUCCCUGGGUUAUUUUCAUAAGCAGAAAAAGUAUUACUUUAAUAAGAGCUGUUUUGGGGAUUCCUGGGUGGCUCACUGGUUUGGUGCCUGCCUUUGGCCCAGCACAUGAUCCUGGAGACCCGGGAUCGAGCCCCACAUCAGGCACCCUGCAUGGAACCUGCUUCUUCCUCUGCCUGUGUCUCUGCCUCUCUUUCUCUGUCUCUCAUGAAUAAAUAAAAUCUUUACAAAAAAAUAAUAAGAGCUGUUUUAAAUAACAUGUGAUGGCUAUUUUAAUUUUUACAAACUUGGACUUUCUCUUUAACUUAAACCUACAGCUAUGACGGCCAGGUGGAUAUAAAGGAAACCUCAUUUCAGCAUCUGUUUAGCAAAUGUUACCAUUUGCAGUUAAAAAAAAAAAAAAGAAAAAAAAAUUCACCCGUUUACUUAAGUU
This is a long non-coding RNA of Canis lupus familiaris (dog), 3279 nucleotides long. RefSeq lists it as uncharacterized. The transcript is spliced from 2 exons. The record is from RefSeq and is a predicted model, not a curated record. Lineage: Eukaryota; Metazoa; Chordata; Mammalia; Carnivora; Canidae.